CCUACGGGAGGCAGCAGUGGGGAAUAUUGGGCAAUGGGCGCAAGCCUGACCCAGCAACGCCGCGUGAAGGAAGAAGGCUUUCGGGUUGUAAACUUCUUUUCUGGGGGACGAACAAAUGACGGUACCCCAGGAAUAAGCCACGGCUAACUACGUGCCAGCAGCCGCGGUAAUACGUAGGUGGCAAGCGUUAUCCGGAUUUAUUGGGGGUAAAGGGCGUGUUGGCGGGAAUGGAAGGCAGAUGGGAAAACUCAGGGGCGAACCCUGAGCCUGCAUUUGAAACUGGUGUUCUUGAGUGAGGGAGAGGCAAGCGGAAUUCCGGGUGGAGCGGGGAAAUGCGUAGAGAUAAGGAGGAACACCAGUGGCGAAGGCGGAUUGCUGGA
This 380-nucleotide ribosomal RNA is filed under the name uncultured bacterium. RNAcentral's name for it is "partial 16S ribosomal RNA". It matches the Rfam family "Bacterial small subunit ribosomal RNA", at positions 338 to 733 of the family's 1533-position model. The record is from RNAcentral.